AAAUUGAAGAGUUUGAUCAUGGCUCAGAUUGAACGCUGGCGGCAGGCCUAACACAUGCAAGUCGAACGGUAACAGGAAACAGCUUGCUGUUUCGCUGACGAGUGGCGGACGGGUGAGUAAUGUCUGGGAAACUGCCUGAUGGAGGGGGAUAACUACUGGAAACGGUAGCUAAUACCGCAUAACGUCGCAAGACCAAAGAGGGGGACCCUCGGGCCUCUUGCCAUCGGAUGUGCCCAGAUGGGAUUAGCUUGUUGGUGGGGUAACGGCUCACCAAGGCGACGAUCCCUAGCUGGUCUGAGAGGAUGACCAGCCACACUGGAACUGAGACACGGUCCAGACUCCUACGGGAGGCAGCAGUGGGGAAUAUUGCACAAUGGGCGCAAGCCUGAUGCAGCCAUGCCGCGUGUAUGAAGAAGGCCUUCGGGUUGUAAAGUACUUUCAGCGGGGAGGAAGGGAGUAAAGUUAAUACCUUUGCUCAUUGACGUUACCCGCAGAAGAAGCACCGGCUAACUCCGUGCCAGCAGCCGCGGUAAUACGGAGGGUGCAAGCGUUAAUCGGAAUUACUGGGCGUAAAGCGCACGCAGGCGGUUUGUUAAGUCAGAUGUGAAAUCCCCGGGCUCAACCUGGGAACUGCAUCUGAUACUGGCAAGCUUGAGUCUCGUAGAGGGGGUAGAAUUCCAGGUGUAGCGGUGAAAUGCGUAGAGAUCUGGAGGAAUACCGGUGGCGAAGGCGGCCCCCUGGACGAAGACUGACGCUCAGGUGCGAAAGCGUGGGGAGCAAACAGGAUUAGAUACCCUGGUAGUCCACGCCGUAAACGAUGUCGACUUGGAGGUUGUGCCCUUGAGGCGUGGCUUCCGGAGCUAACGCGUUAAGUCGACCGCCUGGGGAGUACGGCCGCAAGGUUAAAACUCAAAUGAAUUGACGGGGGCCCGCACAAGCGGUGGAGCAUGUGGUUUAAUUCGAUGCAACGCGAAGAACCUUACCUGGUCUUGACAUCCACGGAAGUUUUCAGAGAUGAGAAUGUGCCUUCGGGAACCGUGAGACAGGUGCUGCAUGGCUGUCGUCAGCUCGUGUUGUGAAAUGUUGGGUUAAGUCCCGCAACGAGCGCAACCCUUAUCCUUUGUUGCCAGCGGUCCGGCCGGGAACUCAAAGGAGACUGCCAGUGAUAAACUGGAGGAAGGUGGGGAUGACGUCAAGUCAUCAUGGCCCUUACGACCAGGGCUACACACGUGCUACAAUGGCGCAUACAAAGAGAAGCGACCUCGCGAGAGCAAGCGGACCUCAUAAAGUGCGUCGUAGUCCGGAUUGGAGUCUGCAACUCGACUCCAUGAAGUCGGAAUCGCUAGUAAUCGUGGAUCAGAAUGCCACGGUGAAUACGUUCCCGGGCCUUGUACACACCGCCCGUCACACCAUGGGAGUGGGUUGCAAAAGAAGUAGGUAGCUUAACCUUCGGGAGGGCGCUUACCACUUUGUGAUUCAUGACUGGGGUGAAGUCGUAACAAGGUAACCGUAGGGGAACCUGCGGUUGGAUCACCUCCUUA
RNAcentral lists this ribosomal RNA (1541 nucleotides) under Escherichia coli. Its description in RNAcentral is "bacterial SSU rRNA". It matches the Rfam family "Bacterial small subunit ribosomal RNA". The record is from RNAcentral. Lineage: Bacteria; Pseudomonadati; Pseudomonadota; Gammaproteobacteria; Enterobacterales; Enterobacteriaceae.